UCGCCAGAAGAUCAAUUUCAAUCGAACAUGGUUCUUGCCUUUUACCAGAACCAUCCGGGAAUUGUCUUUGUCAAUGGUGUAUCACUAUUUUUUGGAACAUUUCAUGAGUUAAAUU
RNAcentral lists this small nuclear RNA (115 nucleotides) under Suhomyces tanzawaensis NRRL Y-17324. RNAcentral describes it as "Candida tanzawaensis NRRL Y-17324 U5 spliceosomal RNA". It matches the Rfam family "U5 spliceosomal RNA". Rfam says of the family: U5 RNA is a component of both types of known spliceosome. Lineage: Eukaryota; Fungi; Ascomycota; Pichiomycetes; Serinales; Debaryomycetaceae. The record is from Rfam by way of RNAcentral.